Molecule: ribosomal RNA, 501 nt
Filed under: uncultured Glomeromycotina
Lineage: Eukaryota; Fungi; Glomeromycota
Description: partial small subunit ribosomal RNA
Rfam family: Eukaryotic small subunit ribosomal RNA
Source: RNAcentral
CCAAUAGCGUAUAUUAAAGUUGUUGCAGUUAAAGAGCUCGUAGUUGAAUUUCGGGGUCAGUAGGUCGGUCGUGCCACUGGUAUGUACUGGUCUCACUGAUUCCUCCUUCCUGAUGAACCGUAAUGCCAUUAAUUUGGUGUUGCGGGGAAACUGGACUGUUACUUUGAAAAAAAUUAGAGUGUUUAAAGCAGGCUAACGCCUGAAUACAUUAGCAUGGAAUAAUGAAAUAGGACGUUCGAUCCUAUUUUGUUGGUUUCUAGGAUUGACGUAAUGAUUAAUAGGGAUAGUUGGGGGCAUUAGUAUUCAAUUGUCAGAGGUGAAAUUCUUGGAUUUAUUGAAGACUAACUACUGCGAAAGCAUUUGCCAAGGAUGUUUUCAUUAAUCAAGAACGAAAGUUAGGGGAUCGAAGACGAUCAGAUACCGUCGUAGUCUUAACCAUAAACUAUGCCGACUAGGGAUCGGAUGAUGUUAAUUUUUUAAUGACUCAUUCGGCGCCUUACG